RNAcentral lists this long non-coding RNA (402 nucleotides) under Chrysolophus pictus (golden pheasant). RNAcentral's name for it is "lncRNA (ENSCPIG00010001664.1)". The record is from RNAcentral. Lineage: Eukaryota; Metazoa; Chordata; Aves; Galliformes; Phasianidae.
AUCUGGAGGAGGGGGGUUGUGGUGGAAGAGAAAGGGAAGGAAAGGCUCUGCUGCUUUUCUUCUGCUGCUUUGAGCAUCGUUACCGUGCGUGUCCAGUCUGAGCAGAGGCAGCAGGAAAGGAAGAGGGACAGGGGACGAGGAAAAACCCAACCUUGUUCAGCAUGUUCUGCAAAUGGAGCCUCUUCUUCCCCAUGAGCAAACAGACCAAGAUGGACUCCUGGCUGAUGGGUAGAGAAGUUCAGAAAGCUGCUGGGGAACACACAAUCCACGAGUUGGGAUUGCUGAUGUUGGCUUCAGUCUGGUAUCCCGUGGUAGAAACAUAAGGAUUAAACAGGCUUUGGAAGUGCCUGGAAAAUUCACAAGCAUUGCCAACAAGAAAUAAGUGAUGCAGGGGUCGCACAG